CACGGAUAACAUACCGAAAGGUAUGCUAAUACGGGAUAAUAUAUUUGAGAGGCAUCUCUUAAAUAUCAAAGGUGAGCCAGUACAGGAUGGACCCGCGUCUGAUUAGCUAGUUGGUAAGGUAACGGCUUACCAAGGCGACGAUCAGUAGCCGACCUGAGAGGGUGAUCGGCCACAUUGGAACUGAGACACGGUCCAAACUCCUACGGGAGGCAGCAGUGGGGAAUAUUGCACAAUGGGCGAAAGCCUGAUGCAGCAACGCCGCGUGAGUGAUGAAGGCCUUCGGGUCGUAAAACUCUGUCCUCAAGGAAGAUAAUGACGGUACUUGAGGAGGAAGCCCCGGCUAACUACGUGCCAGCAGCCGCGGUAAUACGUAGGGGGCUAGCGUUAUCCGGAUUUACUGGGCGUAAAGGGUGCGUAGGCGGUCUUUCAAGUCAGGAGUGAAAGGCUACGGCUCAACCGUAGUAAGCUCUUGAAACUGGGAGACUUGAGUGCAGGAGAGGAGAGUGGAAUUCCUAGUGUAGCGGUGAAAUGCGUAGAUAUUAGGAGGAACACCAGUUGCGAAGGCGGCUCUCUGGACUGUAACUGACGCUGAGGCACGAAAGCGUGGGGAGCAAACAGGAUUAGAUACCCUGGUAGUCCACGCUGUAAACGAUGAGUGCUAGGUGUCGGGGGUUACCCCCCUCGGUGCCGCAGCUAACG
RNAcentral lists this ribosomal RNA (699 nucleotides) under uncultured bacterium. Its description in RNAcentral is "bacterial SSU rRNA". It matches the Rfam family "Bacterial small subunit ribosomal RNA", at positions 138 to 857 of the family's 1533-position model. The record is from RNAcentral.